UACGUAGGGUGCAAGCGUUGUCCGGAAUUAUUGGGCGUAAAGAGCUCGUAGGCGGUUCGUCGCGUCGGCUGUGAAAACUCGGGGCUUAACUCCGGGCCUGCAGUGGGUACGGGCAGACUAGAGUGCGGUAGGGGAGACUGGAAUUCCUGGUGUAGCGGUGAAAUGCGCAGAUAUCAGGAGGAACACCGGUGGCGAAGGCGGGUCUCUGGGCCGUAACUGACGCUGAGGAGCGAAAGCGUGGGGAGCGAACAGG
Molecule: ribosomal RNA, 253 nt
Filed under: uncultured bacterium
Lineage: Bacteria
Description: partial 16S ribosomal RNA
Rfam family: Bacterial small subunit ribosomal RNA
Source: RNAcentral